This 753-nucleotide ribosomal RNA is filed under the name Amanita cinis. RNAcentral's name for it is "partial large subunit ribosomal RNA". It matches the Rfam family "Eukaryotic large subunit ribosomal RNA", at positions 80 to 810 of the family's 3401-position model. The record is from RNAcentral. Lineage: Eukaryota; Fungi; Basidiomycota; Agaricomycetes; Agaricales; Amanitaceae.
CUAGUAACUAGCGAGUGAAGCGGGAAAAGCUCAAAUUUAAAAUCUGGCAACGUUUAAGUUGUUCGAAUUGUAGCCUAGAGAAGUGUUACCGGCACUGGACCGUGUAUAAGUCUCCUGGGAUGGAGCGUCAGAGAGGGUGAGAAUCCCGUUUUUGACAUGGAUAACCAAGUGCAUUGUGGUACGCUCUCAAAGAGUUGAGUUGUUUGGGAAUGCAGCUCUAAAUGGGUGGUAAAUUCCAUCUAAAGCUAAAUAUUGGCGAGAGACCGAUAGCGAACAAGUACCGUGAGGGAAAGAUGAAAAGAACUUUGGAAAGAGAGUUAAACAGUAUGUGAAAUUGUUGAAAGGGAAACGUUUGAAGUCAGUCGCGUUGGUCAGGGAUCAAGCCGGCUGUUUUGCUGGGUGUACUUCCUGGUCAAUGGGUCAACAUGAGUUUUGACUAGUGGAGAAAGGCUCUGGGAAAGUGGCACCUUCGGGUGUGUUAUAGCCCUUGGUCAUAUACAGUAGUUGGGACUGAGGAUAGCAGCGCGCCGCAAGGCCGGGUUUCGACCACGUUUCGCGCUUAGGAUGUUGACAAAAUGGCUUUAAGCGACCCGUCUUGAAACACGGACCAAGGAGUCUAACAUGCGUGCGAGUGUUUGGGUGUAAAACUCAAGCGCGUAAUGAAAGUGAAAGUUGAGAACCCCUGUUAAUAGGGGGGGCACCGACGCCCAGACCGAAACUUUUGGGACGGAUCUGCGGUAGAGCAUGUAUGUU